This 247-nucleotide ribosomal RNA is filed under the name uncultured bacterium. RNAcentral describes it as "partial 16S ribosomal RNA". It matches the Rfam family "Bacterial small subunit ribosomal RNA", at positions 86 to 334 of the family's 1533-position model. The record is from RNAcentral.
AGAUGGCGACCGGCGCACGGGUGAGUAACACGUAUCCAACCUGCCGAUGACUCGGGGAUAGCCUUUCGAAAGAAAGAUUAAUACCCGAUGGCAUAGUUCUUCCGCAUGGUAGAACUAUUAAAGAAUUUCGGUCAUCGAUGGGGAUGCGUUCCAUUAGGUUGUUGGCGGGGUAACGGCCCACCAAGCCUUCGAUGGAUAGGGGUUCUGAGAGGAAGGUCCCCCACAUUGGAACUGAGACACGGUCCAA